Molecule: small nucleolar RNA, 138 nt
Filed under: Ornithorhynchus anatinus (platypus)
Lineage: Eukaryota; Metazoa; Chordata; Mammalia; Monotremata; Ornithorhynchidae
Source: RNAcentral
ACCCUCUCAGGAUGGCACCUGGAGAAUUUCCAGUACUCUACCAGUCUUGGUUACGGGAGGGAGAAUCAGACAGAGGCCUACCCAUUCCAUUCCUAGCUUGGCCAGUGGCUAGCGAGUGGAAGGCAAUCUGUUACAAGU